GCCGGCAUGGCGCAAUUGGUAGCGCAACUGAUUUGUAAUCAGUGGGUUGCGGGUUCGAUUCCUGUUGCCGGCACCA
Molecule: transfer RNA, 76 nt
Filed under: Coriobacteriia bacterium
Lineage: Bacteria; Bacillati; Actinomycetota; Coriobacteriia
Description: tRNA-Thr
Rfam family: tRNA
About the family: Transfer RNA (tRNA) molecules are approximately 80 nucleotides in length. Their secondary structure includes four short double-helical elements and three loops (D, anti-codon, and T loops).
Source: RNAcentral